This 531-nucleotide ribosomal RNA is filed under the name Steinernema feltiae. Its description in RNAcentral is "SSU rRNA". It matches the Rfam family "Eukaryotic small subunit ribosomal RNA", at positions 241 to 1002 of the family's 1831-position model. The record is from RNAcentral. Lineage: Eukaryota; Metazoa; Nematoda; Chromadorea; Rhabditida; Steinernematidae.
UACCUGGUACAGAUAGUGAUGAUCAUGAUAGGGAGCGGUGGGGCGCGCCGGGGGAUUGUUCAAGUUCUGCCUUCAGCUUCGAUGUAGUGUAUGGAUACCAUGCGAUCCGGGUACGGGAAUAGGUUCAUUCAGAGAGGACCUGAGAAUGGCUCCACAUGUAGGAAGGAGCAGCGGGUAAAUUCGCAUCGUAUUCAGGGAGGUAGUGCAAGAAAUGCACUCGGUCCCACUGGGGUUCGGGAUGCAAGACAACAAUUCACCACUGUGAGUAGCAGGGGGGGCUAGUCUGGGGCAGCAGCCGCGGUAAUUCCAGCUCCAAUAGCGUAUAGUAAAGUUGUUGCAGUUAACAAGCUAGUAGAUGAAUUUCUGGCCGGCGCUGUUCCCGGCUCUCGCAGUCGGCUCAGGAGCGUGGUCAUCCGUAUGGGAAGCUAGCUCGUCCUUCGGUGGUCGAGGUAGUGGAUCAUACUCUUCUACUUUGGAAAAUAAUGUAGCAGCUGGUAUUCGAGGGCGGAGGGCCGGAGUAGGGGGAGGGAA